CCGGGGAGAAGUACGGCGAGCCUGUCAUUAUUCAGAGAGGCUAGAUCCUCCGUGUUGAGAAGGAUCAUGAUGGGCUCCUCGGUGUUCUCCAGG
Aotus nancymaae (Ma's night monkey) is the source of this 93-nucleotide microRNA precursor. The record is from Ensembl. NCBI's taxonomy places the organism in Eukaryota, Metazoa, Chordata, Mammalia, Primates, Aotidae.